GAAGCUGGAAUUGCUGUAAUCAUAGGUCAGCAUACUAUGGUGAAUACGUUCCCGGGCCUUGUACACACCGCCCGUCACACCAUGAGAGUUGAGAAUACCCGAAGUCCAUGUUAAAGUGGCCGAAGGUAGGCUUGAUGAUUGGGGUGAAGUCGUAACAAGGUAUC
RNAcentral lists this ribosomal RNA (164 nucleotides) under uncultured bacterium. RNAcentral's name for it is "partial 16S ribosomal RNA". It matches the Rfam family "Bacterial small subunit ribosomal RNA", at positions 1322 to 1500 of the family's 1533-position model. The record is from RNAcentral.